This 19-nucleotide ribosomal RNA is filed under the name Thanatephorus cucumeris. RNAcentral describes it as "partial 28S ribosomal RNA". The record is from RNAcentral. Lineage: Eukaryota; Fungi; Basidiomycota; Agaricomycetes; Cantharellales; Ceratobasidiaceae.
UGAGCUCAAAUCAGGUAGA